AGAACGAACGCUGGCGGCAGGCUUAACACAUGCAAGUCGAACGCGUGUAGCAAUACACGAGUGGCGCACGGGUGAGUAACGCGUGGAUAUCUGCCUUUUGGUUCGGAACAACCCAGGGAAACUUGGGCUAAUACCGGAUAAGCCCUUACGGGGAAAGAUUUAUCGCCGAAAGAUCGGCCCGCGUCUGAUUAGCUAGUUGGUGAGGUAAUGGCUCACCAAGGCGACGAUCAGUAGCUGGUCUGAGAGGAUGAUCAGCCACAUUGGGACUGAGACACGGCCCAAACUCCUACGGGAGGCAGCAGUGGGGAAUAUUGGACAAUGGGCGCAAGCCUGAUCCAGCCAUGCCGCGUGAGUGAUGAAGGCCCUAGGGUUGUAAAGCUUCUUUUGUGCGGGAAGAUAAUGACGGUACCGCAAGAAUAAGCCCGGCUAACUUCGUGCCAGCAGCCGC
Molecule: ribosomal RNA, 448 nt
Filed under: uncultured bacterium
Lineage: Bacteria
Description: SSU rRNA
Rfam family: Bacterial small subunit ribosomal RNA
Source: RNAcentral